This 75-nucleotide transfer RNA is filed under the name Planctomycetota bacterium. Its description in RNAcentral is "Planctomycetes bacterium tRNA-Val". It matches the Rfam family "tRNA". Rfam says of the family: Transfer RNA (tRNA) molecules are approximately 80 nucleotides in length. Their secondary structure includes four short double-helical elements and three loops (D, anti-codon, and T loops). Lineage: Bacteria; Pseudomonadati; Planctomycetota. The record is from RNAcentral.
GGGCGGCUAGCUCAGUUGGUUUAGAGCGCAGCUUUCACACGGCUGAGGUCACUGGUUCGAAUCCAGUGUCGCCCA